GCUUGCUUCUAUGACGUUAGCGGCGGACGGGUGAGUAACACGUGGGCAACCUGCCUGUAAGACUGGGAUAACUUCGGGAAACCGAAGCUAAUACCGGAUAGGAUCUUCUCCUUCAUGGGAGAUGAUUGAAAGAUGGUUUCGGCUAUCACUUACAGAUGGGCCCGCGGUGCAUUAGCUAGUUGGUGAGGUAACGGCUCACCAAGGCAACGAUGCAUAGCCGACCUGAGAGGGUGAUCGGCCACACUGGGACUGAGACACGGCCCAGACUCCUACGGGAGGCAGCAGUAGGGAAUCUUCCGCAAUGGACGAAAGUCUGACGGAGCAACGCCGCGUGAGUGAUGAAGGCUUUCGGGUCGUAAAACUCUGUUGUUAGGGAAGAACAAGUACGAGAGUAACUGCUCGUACCUUGACGGUACCUAACCAGAAAGCCACGGCUAACUACGUGCCAGCAGCCGCGGUAAUACGUAGGUGGCAAGCGUUAUCCGGAAUUAUUGGGCGUAAAGCGCGCGCAGGCGGUUUCUUAAGUCUGAUGUGAAAGCCCACGGCUCAACCGUGGAGGGUCAUUGGAAACUGGGGAACUUGAGUGCAG
This 589-nucleotide ribosomal RNA is filed under the name Priestia aryabhattai. RNAcentral describes it as "bacterial SSU rRNA". It matches the Rfam family "Bacterial small subunit ribosomal RNA", at positions 78 to 651 of the family's 1533-position model. The record is from RNAcentral. Lineage: Bacteria; Bacillati; Bacillota; Bacilli; Caryophanales; Bacillaceae.